This 348-nucleotide unclassified non-coding RNA is filed under the name soil metagenome. Its description in RNAcentral is "partial contains 5.8S ribosomal RNA, internal transcribed spacer 2, and large subunit ribosomal RNA". The stretch from base 1 to 121 matches the Rfam family "5.8S ribosomal RNA", at positions 35 to 154 of the family's 154-position model. The record is from RNAcentral.
GAUGAAGAACGUAGCGAAAUGCGAUAAGUAAUGCGAAUUGCAGAAUUUCCGUGAGUCAUCGAAUCUUUGAACGCACAUUGCGCCCACUGGUAUUCCGGUGGGCAUGCCUGUUCGAGCGUCAUUAUCCUCCCUCAAACCUCGGGUUUGGUGUUGGACCCAAGUUGUGUGAACAACUGGUCUCAAAGACAAUGACGGCGUCCGUGGGACCCUCGGUGCAACGAGCUUUUAAACGAGCACGCGUCGAGUUUCAAGGACCUUCCGGGCCGGUCUCCUUCUUUUAUUUACAAAGGUUGACCUCGGAUCAGGUAGGAAUACCCGCUGAACUUAAGCACAUCAAUAAGCGGAGGA